AAAAACUCCGGUGGUAUGAGAUGGACCCGCGUCUGAUUAGCUAGUUGGUGAGGUAACGGCCCACCAAGGCGACGAUCAGUAGCCGGCCUGAGAGGGCGACCGGCCACAUUGGGACUGAGACACGGCCCAAACUCCUACGGGAGGCAGCAGUGGGGAAUAUUGCACAAUGGGGGAAACCCUGAUGCAGCGACGCCGCGUGAGUGAAGAAGUAUUUCGGUAUGUAAAGCUCUAUCAGCAGGGAAGAAGAAAGACGGUACCUGACUAAGAAGCCCCGGCUAACUACGUGCCAGCAGCCGCGGUAAUACGUAGGGGGCAAGCGUUAUCCGGAUUUACUGGGUGUAAAGGGAGCGUAGACGGCUGUGCAAGUCUGAAGUGAGAGCCCAGGGCUCAACCCUGGGACUGCUUUGGAAACUGCGGAGCUAGAGUGCUGGAGAGGUAAGUGGAAUUCCUAGUGUAGCGGUGAAAUGCGUAGAUAUUAGGAGGAACACCAGUGGCGAAGGCGGCUUACUGGACAGUAACUGACGUUGAGGCUCGAAAGCGUGGGGAGCAAACAGGAUUAGAUACCCUGGUAGUCCACGCGGUAAACGAUGAAUACUAGGUGUUGGAGAGCAAAGCUUUUCG
Molecule: ribosomal RNA, 621 nt
Filed under: uncultured bacterium
Lineage: Bacteria
Description: bacterial SSU rRNA
Rfam family: Bacterial small subunit ribosomal RNA
Source: RNAcentral